Molecule: unclassified non-coding RNA, 305 nt
Filed under: uncultured Cordycipitaceae
Lineage: Eukaryota; Fungi; Ascomycota; Sordariomycetes; Hypocreales; Cordycipitaceae
Description: partial contains 5.8S ribosomal RNA, internal transcribed spacer 2, and large subunit ribosomal RNA
Rfam family: 5.8S ribosomal RNA (bases 1-102)
Source: RNAcentral
ACGCGAUAAGUAAUGUGAAUUGCAGAAUCCAGUGAAUCAUCGAAUCUUUGAACGCACAUUGCGCCCGCCAGCAUUCUGGCGGGCAUGCCUGUUCGAGCGUCAUUUCAACCCUCGACCUCCCCUUGGGGAGGUCGGCGUUGGGGACCGGCAGCACACCGCCGGCCCUGAAAUGGAGUGGCGGCCCGUCCGCGGCGACCUCUGCGCAGUAAUACAGCUCGCACCGGAACCCCGACGCGGCCACGCCGUAAAACACCCAACUUCUGAACGUUGACCUCGAAUCAGGUAGGACUACCCGCUGAACUUAA